RNAcentral lists this ribosomal RNA (478 nucleotides) under uncultured bacterium. Its description in RNAcentral is "partial 16S ribosomal RNA". It matches the Rfam family "Bacterial small subunit ribosomal RNA", at positions 28 to 523 of the family's 1533-position model. The record is from RNAcentral.
GACGAACGCUGGCGGCGUGCUUAACACAUGCAAGUCGAACGGUAAGGCCCUUCGGGGUACACGAGUGGCGAACGGGUGAGUAACACGUGGGUGAUCUGCCCUGCACUUCGGGAUAAGCCUGGGAAACUGGGUCUAAUACCGGAUAGGACUCCGGACUGCAUGGUCUGGGGUGGAAAGCUUUUGCGGUGUGGGAUGGGCCCGCGGCCUAUCAGCUUGUUGGUGGGGUGAUGGCCUACCAAGGCGACGACGGGUAGCCGGCCUGAGAGGGUGACCGGCCACACUGGGACUGAGAUACGGUCCAGACUCCUACGGGAGGCCGCAGUGGGGAAUAUUGCACAAUGGGCGCAAGCCUGAUGCAGCGACGCCGCGUGAGGGAUGACGGCCUUCGGGUUGUAAACCUCUUUCAGCAUCGACGAAGCGAAAGUGACGGUAGGUGCAGAAGAAGGACCGGCCAACUACGUGCCAGCAGCCGCGGUAA